UUGUUCCCUUUGACUCUUUCUGUGUGCAUUCCAUGUUAAUUCUGCUGCUGCUUUUGGAUUCUGAAGUAUUCAGAGCCAUAAGGUGACUCCAGUUUGGUACCAUUUUCUUUGAAAUAUUGAAAAACCUGAAGAGACUGCUUGCUUAAUGCUUAAUGGAUCAUUUUACCAGUGUGUUAGUCACACCAAAAGCCUUAUGGUCAAUCCAGGUAAAUAUCCUUGCAUUUCAAGCAAUUUUAUCUAACGUUAGACUUUGCAGUUGAGUUUCUUAGUCCUCCCAGUUGAAUCUCAUAUUUACCAGAAGAGGAGAUUUCUUUUUUGGUAAAAUCUGAGUCUUAAGAGGAGACAGGUUUUGGUUGUUGUUUGUACUUUAACAUAGCAAUGUAGCUUGAGAAGGUUACUAUUUUCUAAUUAGCAGACCCAUUAACAGGAUAAAGAAAGAAAGGAUAUGGCUUUAUAUAAAGUAUGUGUUGGUUAGUGUGAUAGCAAAAAAUUUUGAAAGGAACUUUUAAAAACCAAUUUUCCAUAUGUGUCUUUAUUUUUAGCCUUCAUCUUUAGGGCAUGGACCUUGGGAUUUUAUUUUCUCUGUAAAACUUUCUACCAUCCCUUGUCAUCUGUAAGAUGGUUUAUGGUAAUACAUAAAAUAAUAAGUGUUAGCAAUUCCUGGCACAAAAUAAGUACUCAGUAUAUGUUGGCUGUUGUUAUUUAGAGUAAGGUCCUGAAAUCCUUCCAUUUCAGAUAGCUGACUACUCAAAAUACAUGAAUCUUCAAAAGAUACAUGCUGUAUGAUUCCAUUUUACAUACUUCUUGAUUCCAUUUAUAGAACAUUCUCAAAAUGACAAAAUUAUAGAAAUGGAGACAAGAUCAGUGGUUGUCAGGUGUUAGGGACAUGGCGUGACUAUAAAGGGGUAAACGGGUAAUUAUUUGUAGUGAUGGGUCAGUUCUGUAUCUUGAUUGUGAUAGCUACAUGAUAGGUACAUGAAUCUUUACAUGUGACCAAAUUUCACAGAACUAAACACAAACACACACAAAGAAAGACAGAAAGGAAAAGCAAUCACAGCAAGAUAUUUAUGUAUUAUGACAUGUAUUAGGUCAACUAUGCAUAAAUACAGCAAACAAAAUAGAAAGUAAAUAAUUGCAUGUGGCUUUCCCUAUGAUCAAGACAUAAAAAUCUCAAGUUAACAAAGGGUUAUUUUUGCAUUAGAAUGUAACGGGGCUUUAACACAUGAAUUUAUAAAUGCUCAUUCUUAUUGUGAACAUUAGCCUCUGUGUGGUCAG
Molecule: long non-coding RNA, 1275 nt
Filed under: Homo sapiens (human)
Lineage: Eukaryota; Metazoa; Chordata; Mammalia; Primates; Hominidae
Description: non-protein coding lnc-CCDC85A-4:1
Source: RNAcentral